UUCAAAAAAGCAAUAUGCAUAAAAUUUAAGAUUUUAUAUAGUGAAUUUUCACUUUUGAAA
RNAcentral lists this transfer RNA (60 nucleotides) under Tetranychus evansi (red spider mite). Its description in RNAcentral is "tRNA-Leu". The record is from RNAcentral. RNAcentral also lists the same sequence under 1 other name. Lineage: Eukaryota; Metazoa; Arthropoda; Arachnida; Trombidiformes; Tetranychidae.